This 438-nucleotide ribosomal RNA is filed under the name Triticum aestivum (bread wheat). RNAcentral describes it as "partial small subunit ribosomal RNA". The record is from RNAcentral. Lineage: Eukaryota; Viridiplantae; Streptophyta; Magnoliopsida; Poales; Poaceae.
AUGCCUAAGAUAAAGACAAGCCGUGUGGAAUACCCCGAAGGAUGGGUGCUUAUCGAGCCCACAAUCCGUGAGCUGGAUGCCAAAAUGAGAGAAGCUGAAAACGAUACACAUGACGGGAAGAGGAAGUGUGAAGCACUCUGGCCAAUUUUCCGCAUUUCUCAUCAAAGAAGCCGUUACAUAUAUGAUCUUUUCUAUAAAAGGAAGGAAAUAUCAAAGGAGCUGUAUGAGUUCUGCCUGGACCAGGGUUAUGCAGACCGUAAUCUGAUUGCAAAGUGGAAAAAGCCGGGUUACGAGCGCCUCUGCUGCCUCCGCUGCAUCCAGACCCGAGACCACAACUUUGCGACUACAUGCGUGUGCCGGGUCCCCAAGCACCUGAGGGAGGAGCAGGUAAUCGAAUGCGUCCACUGUGGCUGCAAGGGAUGUGCCAGCGGCGACUAA